CCUACGGGUGGCAGCAGUGAGGAAUAUUGGUCAAUGGCCGGAAGGCUGAACCAGCCAAGCCGCGUGAAGGACGAAGGUGCCAAGCAUUGUAAACUUCUUUUGUCAAGGGACAAAAUCAGGCUCGAGAGCCUGACCGUGGGUACUUGAAGAAAAAGCAUCGGCUAACUCCGUGCCAGCAGCCGCGGUAAUACGGAGGAUGCGAGCGUUAUCCGGAUUUAUUGGGUUUAAAGGGUGCGUAGGCGGAAUGUUAAGUCAGGUGGGAAAGCUCGGGGCUCAACCCCGGCAGAGCGUUUGAGACUGGCUGUCUUGAGAAGUCGAGAGGUAUGCGGAAUGCGUAGUGUAGCGGUGAAAUGCUUAGAUAUUGCGCAGAACUCCGAUUGCGAAGGCAGCAUACUGGCG
This 399-nucleotide ribosomal RNA is filed under the name uncultured bacterium. RNAcentral's name for it is "partial 16S ribosomal RNA". It matches the Rfam family "Bacterial small subunit ribosomal RNA", at positions 338 to 734 of the family's 1533-position model. The record is from RNAcentral.